GCCCGGGUAGCUCAGUGGUAGAGCAGACGACUGAAAAUCGUCGUGUCGGUGGUUCGACUCCGCCCCUGGGCACCA
Molecule: transfer RNA, 75 nt
Filed under: Erythrobacter sp.
Lineage: Bacteria; Pseudomonadati; Pseudomonadota; Alphaproteobacteria; Sphingomonadales; Erythrobacteraceae
Also listed under: 58 other names
Description: tRNA-Phe
Rfam family: tRNA
About the family: Transfer RNA (tRNA) molecules are approximately 80 nucleotides in length. Their secondary structure includes four short double-helical elements and three loops (D, anti-codon, and T loops).
Source: RNAcentral